CCUACGGGAGGCAGCAGUGAGGAAUAUUGGUCAAUGGGCGGGAGCCUGAACCAGCCAAGUCGCGUGAGGGAAGACGGUCCUACGGAUUGUAAACCUCUUUUGCCGGGGAGCAACGUGGUCCUUGCGAGGUCCCACUGAGAGUACCCGUAGAAAAAGCCUCGGCUAACUCCUGUCCAGCAGCCGGGGUAAUACGGAGGAUGCGAGCGUUAUCCGGAUUUAUUGGGUUUAAAGGGUGCGUAGGCGGGCUGUUAAGUCGGCGGUAAGAGGUCGGGGCUCAACCCCGGCCGGCCGUUGAAACUGGCGGCCUGGAGUGGGCGAGAAGUAGGCGGAAUGCGUGGUGUAGCGGUGAAAUGCAUAGAUAUCACGCAGAACUCCGAUUGCGAAGGCAGCAUACCGGCGCCCGACUGACGCUGAGGCACGAAAGCGUGGGUAUCGAACAGGAUUAGAUACCCCAGUAGUC
RNAcentral lists this ribosomal RNA (460 nucleotides) under uncultured bacterium. RNAcentral describes it as "partial 16S ribosomal RNA". It matches the Rfam family "Bacterial small subunit ribosomal RNA", at positions 338 to 795 of the family's 1533-position model. The record is from RNAcentral.